Molecule: transfer RNA, 75 nt
Filed under: hydrothermal vent metagenome
Description: tRNA-Phe-GAA
Rfam family: tRNA
About the family: Transfer RNA (tRNA) molecules are approximately 80 nucleotides in length.
Source: RNAcentral
GCACCUGUAGUUGAGUCGGAAUAGCGCGACACUGAAAAUGUCGAAACGGUCGUUCAAUUUUGCCCAGGUGCAUCA